UAGCCUUGACAUACUACAGAAUUUGACAGAGAUGUUGAAGUGCCUUCGGGAGCUGUAAUACAGGUGCUGCACGGCUGUCGUCAGCUCGUGUCGUGAGAUGUUGGGUUAAGUCCCGCAACGAGCGCAACCCUCGUCCUUAGUUACUAACGGUUCGGCCGAGGACUCUAAGGAGACUGCCUUCGUAAGGAGGAGGAAGGUGAGGACGACGUCAAGUCAUCAUGGCCCUUACGGCUAGGGCAACACACGUGCUACAAUGGUUAGGACAAUGAGAAGCGAUACCGCGAGGUGGAGCAAAUCUAUAAACCUAAUCUCAGUUCGGAUAGCAGUCUGCAACUCGACUGCUUGAAGCUGGAAUCACUAGUAAUCGUAAAUCAGCUAUGCUACGGUGAAUACGUUCCCGGGUCU
This 405-nucleotide ribosomal RNA is filed under the name uncultured bacterium. RNAcentral's name for it is "bacterial SSU rRNA". It matches the Rfam family "Bacterial small subunit ribosomal RNA", at positions 976 to 1381 of the family's 1533-position model. The record is from RNAcentral.